Molecule: long non-coding RNA, 8530 nt
Organism: Dreissena polymorpha
Lineage: Eukaryota; Metazoa; Mollusca; Bivalvia; Myida; Dreissenidae
Exons: 2
Source: RefSeq, a predicted model, not a curated record
UCAGUCUGUCGACCAAUGGGAUUUGUUCUUAUUAGUCAUGUGAUUUGUGCUGCCCAAUCAGAACACUGCAUCUGUCAAACCUUCACAUGGCUGACUUAAACUGACCACAGUGGUUCCUUUUGAUAAGGGAUCAGCAAAUCUUGAAUUAGGGAUUCAUGGGUCUAAGCUAUAAAUAAAAUUGCAGUAGAAGUUUCACAUUUUAAGAUUUUUAAUUGUAAAAUUGGAUAUCAUUUAAGGGAUUUUGUAUUGAUAGAUUAAUAAUCCUGAUGAAAUGACAAAUAUCUUCUGCUAUUAUUCAUUUUACUUGUUAAGCAAACAAGUUAAAAUACUUUUCUUUUUGUUGGUUAUUUAAGUGUUUGAAUCCUUAAUUAAUUGGAUAUAUAAAUGUACAAAUACAGUCUAAGCGAAAGAAAAAGACAACACUAAUUAUCAUACGGGAGUAAGGAUUUAUUUGCGUGAACAAAUUGGUAUUGAAAGAAAUGCCAAAGUUUUAGCAGUGAAAGUUUAUAUUUGUUGAUUACAUUGCUGCUGGGAAGCCAUAUGGAAUCAUUCAGAUUGGAGAUUUUUACUGUUAUAUUUCUACACCAAAUUGUUUUUUAAAGCAUUUAUGCGUGGACAGUUUAGAUUAGUCUGCUACUUGCAUUCACAUUUUCAGUAGAAUGCCAAUUUCUUAUUAUGCUCCCCAAAAAUUUUCGGGGUGAGCAUAUAGUCGCCGCUUCAUCUGUCCGUGCGUCCGUCCGUGCACAAUUUUUUUCCAGGCUAUUUCUCAGCAAUUAAUGACUGGAAUUCAAUUAAACUUUAUGGGAAGCUUCACUACCAAAAGCAGAUGUGCAUAUUAUCAGCCGGUUCUGGUCGGAUGAUUUUUCACAGAGUUAUGGCCCUUUGAAAUUUUCCAUUAACUGUACAUAUAGUGCAAUUCUUGUCCAGGCUAUUUCUCAGCAACUAAUGACCGGAAUUCAAUGAAACUUUAUGGGAAGCUUCACUACCAAAAGGAGAUGUGCAUAUUAUCAGCCAGUUCUGGUCGGAUGAUUUUUCACAGAGUGAUGGCCCUUUGAAAUUUUCCAUUAACUGUACAUAUAGUGCAAUUCUUGUCCGGUCUAUUUCUCAGCAACUAAUGACUGGAAUUCAAUGAAACUUUAUGGGAAGCUUCACUACCAACAGGAGAUGUGCAUAUUAUCAGCCGGUUCUCGUAGGAUGAUUUUUCACAGUUAUGGCCCUUUGAAAUUUUCCAUUGUACAUAUAGUGCAAUUCUUGUCCGAGCUAUUUCUCAGCAACUUAUUACGGGAAUUCAAUGAAAUUUUAGAGCAAGCUUCACUACCAACAGGAGAUGUGCAUAUUAUCAGCCGGUUAUGGUCGGAUGAUUUUUCACAGAGUUAUGGCCUUUUGAAAUUUUCUAUAAACUGUACAUAUAGUGCAAUUCUUGUCCGGGCUAUUUCUCCCCAACUACUGACUGGAAUUCAAUGAAGCUUUAUGGGAAGCUUAACUACCUUGAGGAGAUGCGCAUGUUAUUUGUUGGUUCUGGUUAGAUGAUUUAUUGAGAGUUAUGGCCCUUUGAAAUUUUUAAGUUGCUAAACCAUCCAUCGUAUUAUUUUGUCCAAAGUUAUGCCCCUCAAGACAUUUCCUUUUAUCUGAAUAUAUAGUGCAAUAUUGUGACAAAAAAAAACUUUGGGGAGCAUCACCUGUCUCCGACGGUUUCUUGUUUGAUAAUUUGUGUGAAAUUGGUAGUAUAUAUUAUUAUUUUUUUAAGUAUCAUUCGAUGAUGUUAGAAACAUCAGGAUCAAGAGCCAAAAUGUGCGAUACAAUGUGUGCUACUAAAAAUGGUGGAUAAUCAAUGGAGAUGCUAGGUUUUCAUUAAGUUUGAAAGAACAUGGAUUAUUCCCAACAAGUCCGUGUCACGAGUAAAUGGGUUGAAUGCCAUAUAAGGUCAGUGUAGCUCCAGAUUUAGUCCGCUACAAAAUCAUGCGAGGUUUUGUUUUCUCAAGAGAAGACAGGGUAGCUCCUGAAUAAACUUGGAGGAUGUGCAGGUUUGUCAGGAACUAUGCAGGCAGUAUAUGCCAUAAGAUCCAUUUCGCAUUAAGAGGGUGUAAAUUGACAGGGUAAUUUAAGUUUAUUUUUACAAAAACUUAAAAAAUUAGCCUGGUGUUAUAUAAUUUUUUGUGCAAAUUUGCAGGGGUCACAAUUAAAGUCCCUCAAUAUAUAAUACAUUUGCAAAUAUUAAGUAAUAACAAGGGAGACCCUUUUUAAAGGCCUUCAAUGCACGUUAAGGCUAGAAACUCCUCAAGUAAAACAAGGUUAAAUAUGAUUUCUACAAACUGCGCAUCUCUGUAUUUUGUUAUCCUAUAAAUUUCCCUAGAUAAAGUUGACAGUUCAAAUGUAUUUUGAAUGAAUUGAUUUGACGCAAGUAUUGCAUUUGCGGCAAUUAUAUUUAUUUUUAAAGGGCAUAAGUAUGCUUAAAAUGACACUGAAGGAAGUAUUCCUCUUAGUCUGUUAACAUGAAUUCUAAUGCAUUUCAAAAGACAUGUACAUGUAGUCGGUGCUGUAUUAUGAGGACUAUGUUAAUAAAAAGGGCCUUGUUAAGGAGACAUAUAAUCAAAAAUGAGUCUUGUGCAAUAUGCUUCCUGCCUAGCUCAAGCCUGGUCUCGAAGUUGUGCAUUCUGGUAAGGAGUAACACUGUUAGUUUAAAUGUUACCAAUUGUAACGUGGUCUCAUUACCGGACAGGGUAGCUGCGCAGGCUGGUCUUGAGCUACACUGGCAGCAUAUGGCUUAAAACCCAAUUUCGCAUGAUGUGGCUCAAAUCAGAUUACAAUCAGGUCUCUGCUUGAUUAGCAUUCCAUGUUGGAAAAUGAUUGAUCAACGCAACUGAGAAAGUGAAAGACAUUUUCAUGGUAAUCAUAAGAAAAUGAUACUUAUACUUGGAAACUUUUUUUUUACAUAGUCUGUUUUACAAAUACUUGUAUAAUAACAGUUUUGUGGAAUUAUGGUAGUCAAGACUUCAUUUUGUGUAAUAACCUGUAUUUAUAGUUAAUCAGAUUUUAAGUGCAUGUCUGUUGUCCAUUGUUAAUUUCUGGCUGCUCAUUUAUUGAAGACAUAAAUUGAAGUUCCCACAUGUUAAGUUGCAUCCUUUCAUGACUGCAAACAUAUUUUCAUCCCUGUGAAAAUAAUGAUGUUUGAACUCGCACUUGUUUAUGGAUGAGGUUUACAUUUUCAAAAAAAAAAUUGUUGCUUUAAAAUUUCUGAUAAAUCAGUUGAAUGUUGAUUGUGUAUUGCUCACAUUAAUAUUGUUUCUGAGGUCCUUAGUUAUGUCAGACAGUUCAUCACUGAUAACUAUAUUAUUAAUGUGCAUACUUAAAAACUAUAUGAAAAAAAUCAAAACUUAUUUGUAUUGUCUGUAUUAAAUUUAAAGAUUCUAUUGUUGUCAGAAUCUGUGCUUUUAUUUGUCUCACAUUUUUGUAAAAAUGUUAACAUUUCUUGCUCGUAUAAAUUGGUCUGUGUUGAUUUGUACAGUGUACAUGAAAAUUCUCAUCAAAUGUAUAUCCUAGUUUUACAAGGGUUUCACUGUUUAGUUGUCUACGGUAAUUCUUAGCUUUGGUAAGAAUGCUGGUGUAAAUGAAGUUGUUAAGGUCAUGUAAUGUUUGGAUAUUGAAAAUUUAAAUUUUGUAAUAACUGAAUUCAUUCUCAUUUAUCUCACUUUCAAGUCUGCAAAAUUGUAACCAUUGGUUUAAUCAACCAUGUUUAAAGUUUUGAGGCAUUUUUAUCUUUCUCAUCUGGCAAAAUCUUUGCUUUCAAGGAUGAAAUCUGCAGAACUGGUGAAAAUUUGUGCUGAGUUUGGACAGUGUUUAAUGCACAAAGGAUUGUGAAUUAUUUUCGUAUAAAAAAUAACAAUUGUAAACUUUAUCCAAUCUGUUACGUUUUUAUGCUCCCCCCAAAUUUUUUGGGGGAGCAUAAAGUCGCUGCUUCGUCUGUCCAUGCGCGUGUCCGACGGUGCACAAUUUUUGUCCGGGCUAUUUCUCAGCAAUUAAUGACCGGAACUUAAUUAAACUUUAUGGGAAGCUUCACUACCAAGAGGAGAUGUGCAUAUUAUCAGCCGGUUCUGGUCGGAUGAUUUUUCACAGAGUUGUGGCCCUUUGAAAUUUUCAAUUAACUGUACAUAUAGUGCAAUUCUUGUCCGGGCUAUUUCUCCCCAACUACUGACUGGAAUUCAAUGAAGCUUAAUGGGAAGCUUAACUACCUUGAGGAGAUGCGCAUGUUAUUUGUGGGUUCUGGUUAGAUGAUUUAUUUAUAGAGUUAUGGCCCUUUGAAAGUUUUAAGUUGCUAAACCAUCCAUGGUAUUAUUUUGUCCAAAGUUAUGCCCCUCAAAACGUUUCCUUUUAUCUGAAUAUAUAGUGCAAUAUUGUGACAAAAAAACCUUUGGGGAGCAUCACCCGUCUCCGACGGUUUCUUGUUUUAAUAAGCUGUCACUGUGCACAUAAAACUGCGUAUAUUUUGAAUGGCAAAAUUAAUUCAGUUUGUUAAACAUGCCAUCAUUAAAAUAAUUCCAAGUUAUUUAGUGUAACUUCUUUUUUUAUAGCUCAGCUGAGCGCAACAUACAUAAUUGUGAAAUUUUGUGAUCAACUUUUGUCUGUCGUCCGUCAAGCGUCGUGAACAUUUGUUUGUUAACACUGUAGAGGCUACAUUUAGUGUCCAGUCUUCAUGAAGCUUGGUCAGUAGAUUUGUCCCACUGAUAUCUUGGAUGUGUUUUAAAAUGGUUUCGGUUUAUUGAAAUACAUGGCCGCCAGUGUUGGGGCAUUUUUUUGCUCUCCAUAUAUAUAUGAGGAGCAUAUAGUUGCCAGUUUGGGGUUCUUUACUUACUUCUUUACUUCUGUCAUUCUUUUGUUACAGUUUCUCAUAGCGCCUUCAAUACUUUACUGAUCUCUUACAUAUUUGGCAUGUAGGUACCUUGCAUGGACCUCUACCUUUUGAUGCGGUUUGAGGUCACUGGGGUCAAGGUCACCGAGGCUAAUAAUAGAUUUUCCGUCACACUUUUGUUACAGUUUCUCAUAGCUCCUUCAAUAUUUUACCUAUCUCUUACAUAUUUGGCCUGUAGGUACCUUGCUUGGAACUCUACCUUUUGAUUAGGUUUGACAUCACUGGGGUCAAGGUCACCGAGGCUAAUAAUAUAUUUUCUGCACACUUUUGUUACCGUUUCUCAUUGCGCCUUCAAUAUUUUACCGAUCUCUUCCAUAUUUAGCAUGUAGGUACCUUGCAUGGACCUCUACCUUUUGAUGAGGUUUGACGUCACUGGGGUCAAGGUCACCGAGGCUAAUAAUAGAUUUUCCAGCACACUUGUUACAGUUUCUCAUAGCGCAUUCAAUAUUUUACCCAUCUCUUACAUAUUUGGCAUGUACGUACCUUGCAUGGACCUCUACCUUUUGAUGAGGUUUGACGUCACUGGGGUCAAGGUCACUGAGGCUAUUAAUAGAUUUUCUGUCACAUUUUUGUUACAGUUUCUCAUAGCGCCUUCAAUAUUUUACUGAUCUCUUCCACAUUUAUCAUGUAGGUACCUUGCAUGGACCUCUACCUUUUGAUGAGGUUUGAGGUCACUGGGGUCAAGGUCACCAAGGCUAAUAAUAGAUUUUCUCAAAGUCAAAUUUUGGUUACAGUUUCUCAUUGCGCCUUCAAUAUUUGACCGAUCUCUUGUAUAUUUGGGAUGUAGGUACCUUGCAUGAACCUCUAGCUUUUUGAUAAGUUUUGAGGUCACUGGGGUCAAGGUCACCGAGGCUAAAAAUAGAUUUUCUCAAGGUCACACUUUUUUCAACACAGUUAAACCAUAUAUCGUCAAAGCAUCAUUGGGGAGCAUCCAUCAGUUUUGCUGAUAUUCUUGUUCCUUAUUUAGCUAUUAUUAUAGUUAAUCCUUGUUUACACUUGAAGUUGAAUCGUCACUGAACAUGGUCUGAAUUUGUUCUAAUGAUAUCUUGGCCUGCACAGAACAGGUCACCUCCUUUUUAUCUUAUGUGAGCAACUUUGAGCCUUUCAGGCCCUCUUGUUUUAGCUCAUGUGAACACAUAUUGAAUAUAUAGUUAUUAGAAUGCUGUGUUGUCUGACUAUGUGUGUGGAUGUGUCUGUUAAGGUUUUCCCCCAAUUUCUUUUUCUCCUUAACAGCUUGGCAGAUUUGAAUUAAACUUCUCAGGAGUAAUUCUUUGGUGGCCCUUUUUCAAAGCUGUUCAAAGCCCUCCGGUCCAUUGCAUAUGUAGGUCACCAAAUUUAAACAUACCGGUAAAUUUAAAACAUGAAAACUUCAACACUUCUCUGAAACCAUAUCCUGGGGCUAUAUUGUUUCCUUUAUUAUGUGCGUAGUGAAAACUUCAAAAAUCUUAAACACAUUAGUUCGGUAUUUGGCAUCUAACAUAUGAUGGUUCUCUACCAAAUUUGUUGUAUCAUGUGAUUGGGGUCAAAACUUGCCCCAAACUUGGGAGUAACUUGUUUACCUUAUAUGCUUACUGUGAAAACUGUGAAAAUCAUCUCUCAAACUGUGAGGCACAGAAGGUUUAUCUUUGGCAUGAAACAUGGUAUGUUGAUCCUCUGCCUUGUCUGUUGAAAUCAUGCCCCUGGUGUCAAAAUUGUCUCCACCUAGGGUCAAGUUGUUUUCUUUACACAUGUAUUUGGUAGUACAAAAUUUACACAUUUUUUCAUCUGAAACCAGUUUGGUAUAUGGCAUGUAACAUCAAAUUAUGCCCCUGGGGUCAACAUUGCUAAUAAUUUGGUUUAAUGAUAUUCUGCCAAGUUUUAAAAUCAAUGUGGUUGGUUGAAAAGUUUGGCCAAAUGGGUGCAAGUUUCCUGAUAUGGCUGUAUUAUGUGAACUAUUCUUCAUGUUGCUUUUUUGUCUAAUGUUUAGUGUAACUGGCUCAUUUGUUCUUAUGAUAUCUGGGCCAUUUUCAAAAAUGAUGUAGAAAAAAAUCACAAAAAGUUGCUGAGAACAGGUCAGUUCCCAAAAUGUCAGGUGAGGGAACAAGGGAUUAUGGCCCUUUUGUUUAAAAUAAAUUAGAUGUGAGUAGUGCAAUUUUUUUUUACUCUCUUUUUUUUUAAACAUGUUUGUGCAACUAAACUUCUAUUGUAUUAGCUUCUUUCUCAGGUGCUGUUUUGUAAUUGUUUCAAAACCACACUCCAUCAGAAUUCGCGGUUUAAUCCUAACAAUUUGAUUAUAUCAAAAUAAUAUUUAUGUCCUUAACAUGAAAGAGCCUUAAUCAAUGCAACUACAUGCGUCACAAUAAGUUUAUUGCAAAGUUUCAUUUCGUACCUGAUUCAAAAUUAUUAUAGAUUUCAAUUGGAGUUUAUUGAGUAAAUGUUAUUAUUUAUUUGUACCAUUAAAUAAUGAAAAUUAUAAUGCAACAUGUUAAAUUUAGUGGACUGUUAACUGCCAAAGAAGUGUUAGCUUGAAGUAAUACUAGUUCACGUUUUGGGCAAUGUUUAAUGACUUUGAUAUGGCUUGAUGUAAUGCCGGACAUUGACAUGGGUUGAUGUUAUGUCGUUAUCAAUUACAGUUGGUUUAGUGUUUAAUACUUUAAUGUUAUAACCAUGAAAUUGAUACCUUAACAAGAGGUGAGGUUAGAUUGUGUGGACCAGAACAGAGACAUUAUAUGGACAAUAUUGGAUGUUUUAUCGCAGUAGGUUGCAGUUCAUCCAAAGUUUUUUGGUUUAUAUCGGAUAAUAUGUUGUGUAGGAUCUUACUUGUAUAAUCAUAAUUUUUAAUUCAUUGACAGCUAGCUGUUUAUGACAUUUACCUUUACAUAUUUGAAUUUGUUUGUCAAUGUAUGAGGCUUAUUGCACUGUGAAACAGUCGUUAUGUUAACCCUUUCAGUGCGGGAACCGAAUUUUGAAGGCCUUUGCAAACAGUUUUGAUCCAGAUGAGACGCCUCAGAACGUGGUGUCUCAUCAGGAUCCAAACUGUUUGCUAUUCUGAUAAUAUUCUUUGAAAAAAAUCGAAGAAAAUGCUUAUUUUAGAAAUACAGCAGACAACAUUUUAGCAGAAGACAAAUAUCCCAGCAUGCAAAGGGUUAUCUUUGUUAUAAUAUGAGCCUUUAUGAGCUUUGUGCAUUCGGCACAAGAAAAUAAGGGAAGAUACUUUCGGCUUUUAUGGGAUUUUGUGUUUAAAGAAAGUCUCUUUUAUACGAAAAUCCAGUUUAGGCGGAAAGUUUCAACCCUGAUUAGCUUGUGUGUACUGCAUCGGCUAAUCUGGGAAGACUCUUUUUACGCACAUGCAUUUAGCCCAGUUUUCACAGAACAAGGCUUUUAUGUUUAUGUUAUGUAGAAGGCAAGUCACCAGAAAAUGGUUGCUUUAUCAUACAUCUGUACAGUAUCCACUAUUUGUGGUUCUAUUAUUUUAUAGUUUCGUCUUCUUUGUACAUGUCGGUUUCGUAUACUUAUUACAACUUACUAUUUUUUUCCCUUCCGUUUUGCAGAAUUGUAUGCAUGCAUAUUGAGUAAAACUGUUGUUAUUGUAAUGUUAAAGCAUUUCCAAGAUGCACUUUGAAAUUAAAUAUUCUGUAAAUGUCA